RNAcentral lists this ribosomal RNA (550 nucleotides) under uncultured bacterium. RNAcentral's name for it is "bacterial SSU rRNA". It matches the Rfam family "Bacterial small subunit ribosomal RNA", at positions 240 to 807 of the family's 1533-position model. The record is from RNAcentral.
AUUAGCUAGUUGGUGAGGUAACGGCUCACCAAGGCGACGAUGCGUAGCCGACCUGAGAGGGUGAUCGGCCACAUUGGAACUGAGACACGGUCCAGACUCCUACGGGAGGCAGCAGUGGGGAAUAUUGCACAAUGGGCGAAAGCCUGAUGCAGCAACGCCGCGUGAGUGAUGAAGGCCUUCGGGUCGUAAAGCUCUUUGAUCAGGGAUGAUAAUGACAGUACCUGAAAAACAAGCCACGGCUAACUACGUGCCAGCAGCCGCGGUAAUACGUAGGUGGCGAGCGUUGUCCGGAAUCACUGGGCGUAAAGGAUGCGUAGGUGGAUACUUAAGUGGGAUGUGAAAUCCCCGGGCUCAACCCGGGAACUGCAUUCCAAACUGGGUAUCUAGAGUGCAGGAGAGGAAAGCGGAAUUCCUAGUGUAGCGGUGAAAUGCGUAGAUAUUAGGAGGAACACCAGUGGCGAAGGCGGCUUUCUGGACUGUAACUGACACUGAGGCAUGAAAGCGUGGGUAGCAAACAGGAUUAGAUACCCUGGUAGUCCACGCCGUAAAC